AUUGAACGCUGGCGGCAGGCCUAACACAUGCAAGUCGAACGGUAACAGGAAACAGCUUGCUGUUUCGCUGACGAGUGGCGGACGGGUGAGUAAUGUCUGGGAAACUGCCUGAUGGAGGGGGAUAACUACUGGAAACGGUAGCUAAUACCGCAUAACGUCGCAAGACCAAAGAGGGGGACCUUCGGGCCUCUUGCCAUCGGAUGUGCCCAGAUGGGAUUAGCUAGUAGGUGGGGUAACGGCUCACCUAGGCGACGAUCCCUAGCUGGUCUGAGAGGAUGACCAGCCACACUGGAACUGAGACACGGUCCAGACUCCUACGGGAGGCAGCAGUGGGGAAUAUUGCACAGUGGGCGCAAGCCUGAUGCAGCCAUGCCGCGUGUAUGAAGAAGGCCUUCGGGUUGUAAAGUACUUUCAGCGGGGAUGAAGGGAGUAAAGUUAAUACCUUUGCUCAUUGACGUUACCCGCAGAAGAAGCACCGGCUAACUCCGUG
This 490-nucleotide ribosomal RNA is filed under the name uncultured bacterium. Its description in RNAcentral is "partial 16S ribosomal RNA". It matches the Rfam family "Bacterial small subunit ribosomal RNA", at positions 30 to 507 of the family's 1533-position model. The record is from RNAcentral.